Long non-coding RNA from Bufo bufo (common toad), 459 nucleotides. RefSeq lists it as uncharacterized. The record is from RefSeq and is a predicted model, not a curated record. NCBI's taxonomy places the organism in Eukaryota, Metazoa, Chordata, Amphibia, Anura, Bufonidae. The transcript is spliced from 3 exons.
CAGUAGCUCAGAUUAGAGACCAGGUCAAUGCCACACAGAGUUCUAGCAGCAGACACAUCUCUAGAACAACUGUUAAGAGGAGACUGUGUGAAUCAGGCCUUCAUGGAAGAAUAUCUGCUAGGAAACCACUGCUAAGGACAGGCAACAAGCAGAGGAGACUUGUUUGGGCUAAAGAACACAAGGAAUGGACAUUAGACCAGUGGAAAUCUGUGCUUUGGUCUGAUGAGUCCAAAUUUGAGAUCUUUGGUUCCAACCACCGUGUCUUUGUGCGACGCAGAAAAGGUGAACAGAUGGACUCUUCACUCUACAUGCCUGGUUCCCACCGUGAAGCAUGGAGGAGGAGGUGUGAUGGUGUGGGGGUGCUUUGCUGGUGACACUGUUGGGGAUUUAUUCAAAAUUGAAGGCAUACUGAACCAGCAUGGCUACCACAGCAUCUUGCAGCGGCAUGCUAUUCCAUCC